Priapulus caudatus is the source of this 435-nucleotide long non-coding RNA. RefSeq lists it as uncharacterized. Lineage: Eukaryota; Metazoa; Priapulida; Priapulimorpha; Priapulimorphida; Priapulidae. The transcript is spliced from 2 exons. The record is from RefSeq and is a predicted model, not a curated record.
CGCAGCGACGACAGAGACGUGUUUGACGGGUAGUGUGAUCCGCACGUGUCGUGGAAGCUGCUGUGGUGGCUGGGAGCGAGUAAGGAUAGGCAGGAGGAGACGAUGUCAGCCGCCGCAGUAAACAUACUACUAGCGCAACAAUGCGACGUCGUCUAUCGUUGCACCCAGAAACGGAACUAAGCCAGAUGAUACAUAGCGUUAGCUGCCAGGUAAACGGGGGACACAGACCAGGACAGCUCAUGCUCGUAUAUCGUAUAUCGUAUAUACUGAAUGCCAUUAUAUAAUUAUAAGUGAAAUGAAAUGGAAUGAAAUCAUGCUGUAAAACAAUUUGCCGAAGAAUUGCGCUCUAGACUACCAGCAAAGUGGUAUUUUUACAAUGAGAGCAAUAAAUUACACGUAUAUUAUACGUAGCUGCUAUGCAUCUUGGACUUAAAA